AUUGAACGCUGGCGGCAUGCUUUACACAUGCAAGUCGAACGGCAGCGGGGGCUUCGGCCUGCCGGCGAGUGGCGAACGGGUGAGUAAUACAUCGGAACGUGUCCUUAAGUGGGGAAUAACGCAUCGAAAGAUGUGCUAAUACCGCAUAUCUCUCAGGAGGAAAGCAGGGGAUCGAAAGACCUUGCGCUAAAGGAGCGGCUGAUGUCUGAUUAGCUAGUUGGUGGGGUAAAGGCUUACCAAGGCAACGAUCAGUAGCUGGUCUGAGAGGACGACCAGCCACACUGGGACUGAGACACGGCCCAGACUCCUACGGGAGGCAGCAGUGGGGAAUUUUGGACAAUGGGCGAAAGCCUGAUCCAGCCAUGCCGCGUGAGUGAAGAAGGCCUUCGGGUUGUAAAGCUCUUUUAGUCGGAAAGAAAGAGUCAUAGUAAAUAGCUAUGAUUUAUGACGGUA
Molecule: ribosomal RNA, 453 nt
Filed under: uncultured bacterium
Lineage: Bacteria
Description: bacterial SSU rRNA
Rfam family: Bacterial small subunit ribosomal RNA
Source: RNAcentral